AGAGUUUGAUCCUGGCUCAGGACGAACGCUGGCGGCGUGCUUAACACAUGCAAGUCGGACGAGGGAAAGAGGGAGGCUUGCCUCAAUCUUUCCCGAGUGGCAAACGGGUGAGUAACACGUAAACAACCUGCCCUCCUGACGGGGACAACAGACGGAAACGACUGCUAAUACCGGAUACGGUCCUUUAGCCGCAUGGCUUUGGGAAGAAAGGAUGGCCUCCAUUUAUGAGCUAUCGCGGGAGGAGGGGUUUGCGACUGAUUAGAUAGUUGGUGAGGUAACGGCCCACCAAGUCGACGAUCGGUAGCCGGACUGAGAGGUUGGCCGGCCACAUUGGAACUGAGAGACGGUCCAAACUCCUACGGGAGGCAGCAGUGGGGAAUAUUGGGCAAUGGGCGAAAGCCUGACCCAGCAACGCCGCGUGAGUGAAGAAGGCCUUCGGGUUGUAAAGCUCUGUUAUGCGAGAAGAAGGACGUGACGGUAUCGCAUAAGGAAGCCCCGGCUAACUACGUGCCAGCAGCCGCGGUAAUACGUAGGGGGCGAGCGUUGUCCGGAAUGACUGGGCGUAAAGGGCGUGUAGGCGGCCGAUUAAGUCUGGAGUGAAAGUCCUGCAUUCAAUGUGGGAAUUGCUUUGGAGACUGGUUGGCUUGAGUGCGGAAGAGGUAAGUGGAAUUCCCAGUGUAGCGGUGAAAUGCGUAGAGAUUGGGAGGAACACCAGUGGCGAAGGCGACUUACUGGGCCGUAACUGACGCUGAGGCGCGAAAGCGUGGGGAGCGAACAGGAUUAGAUACCCUGGUAGUCCACGCGGUAAACGAUGAAUGAUAGGUGUUGCGGGUAUCGACCCCUGCAGUG
RNAcentral lists this ribosomal RNA (849 nucleotides) under uncultured bacterium. Its description in RNAcentral is "bacterial SSU rRNA". It matches the Rfam family "Bacterial small subunit ribosomal RNA", at positions 8 to 845 of the family's 1533-position model. The record is from RNAcentral.